Molecule: long non-coding RNA, 1036 nt
Organism: Acromyrmex echinatior (Panamanian leafcutter ant)
Lineage: Eukaryota; Metazoa; Arthropoda; Insecta; Hymenoptera; Formicidae
Source: RefSeq, a predicted model, not a curated record
UUGAAUUAUUCCCAAAUCAUCUAUUAAUUAUAUAAAUAAAAAUUUAUUUAACAUUGAGGUCAUGAUUUGUUUACUAACUCGCUGUAAACCCGGCAUUGCAUUGCCGGUUUCUGACAACGGACGAAAUCGAUAUACGGCCGAAAGGUCGCGAACGGAACGAUAAGGGGUUUUAACUUACAAAUCAAACGGAAGAGAAAGAUGAGGCAGAAGAACGUCGAAGAAGAGAGCGGCUACGUGGAGAACUUUCCUCUUGGACUCUACUCUGUACUCGACGCUCCACGACGUGCUCCGACGUUCUUGGAGCUCGCUCCUCGUCGUUACUGCGUCUACGAGUGAGUUUGUGAGCGAGACACGCAUGCGGCGCGCGCUUGACACAGGUGCGCUUCCACGAGGAGAGCGAGGAGGCCUGCUACUCUUCGCCGUCGUGCUCGUCGUCGAGUUGGAACUGCCGCCUGGUAGCGCGAGAUCAAAGCUUCGAUUUUAUCCGAGAGCCGUCAAAUAUUAACUGAUGACGAUUAGAAAGCGACUGCUGCCGUCGCGCCGUGUCGUAGUGUGUCGGAAUCCUUUCUGCGGACGCCAUAUUGGUACCGGUGCGGUACCGGUGCGGUGCUCGUCGCCUCUUUCGCUCUUCUACUGUGGUGGUUAUAUUUUCGUGGAGCUCCUUGACGAGGGAUCGGUUUACCUUACCGUGUACACACACACAGGCAUAUACCUAUCACAGUUAUCAUUUUGUUAGAAGGAGGGGAAUGAAGCUUGAAGUCGGAGGGUUAUAGUCAUGGUUACAGAGCACACACUAGGGUACCACUGAUAAGAGAAUCAGAGAGGGUAUAUGUAGCGACAAAGAUUAGCCGAGACAUUGCAUUAUCGUCGAAAAUACACAAGGAUGAACUUUCUUUCGGCCGUUCACUGACUCCUCGUCUAUCAUCAACUGUAUGUUUUUGUGAAUAUUAUGGAGGACCUAUAUUAAACGUAUAUUUGUAUGUGUAAUUUAAAUAAUCUAUUUCGAUAAUUCUAAAAAAAACAUCAUCUUUUAAAU